GACGAACCGUGCGAACGUUGUUCGGAAUCACUGGGCUUAAAGGGCGCGUAGGCGGGUUUGCAAGUCUGCGGUGAAAGCCUCCAGCUUAACUGGAGAAGUGCCGUGGAUACUGCGGAUCUCGAGGAGGGUAGGGGCAUCUGGAACGGUCGGUGGAGCGGUGAAAUGCGUUGAUAUCGACCGGAACUCCGGUGGCGAAGGCGAGGUGCUGGACCCUUUCUGACGCUGAGGCGCGAAAGCCAGGGGAGCGAACGGG
Molecule: ribosomal RNA, 253 nt
Filed under: uncultured bacterium
Lineage: Bacteria
Description: partial 16S ribosomal RNA
Rfam family: Bacterial small subunit ribosomal RNA
Source: RNAcentral